Vidua chalybeata is the source of this 396-nucleotide long non-coding RNA. RefSeq lists it as uncharacterized. The record is from RefSeq and is a predicted model, not a curated record. NCBI's taxonomy places the organism in Eukaryota, Metazoa, Chordata, Aves, Passeriformes, Viduidae. The transcript has 2 exons.
GAGGUGACACGGCGUCACCGCGGACAGCGCCCGGCCCGGAGCCCGCACGGGCGGACGGUUCCCUGCUGCUGUCAGCCCCGCGGGGGCGGCACCGACGGCUGGGGACAAGGCGGGGAUGGUAGGGCGAGAGCCCGGUGUGGCGGUGGUCUAAAGUUACAGACUGCCUCGGAAUCACAGAAUCAAUUUGGUUGGAAAAGACAAGAUCACUGAGUUGAACUUAUGACUGAACACGAUGUAAACUAGACCAUGGCUCCAAGUGCCAUGCUCAGCCUUUGCUUAAACACAGGGAUGUUUAAGGGAUGGUGACUCCACCACCUCCCCCGGCAGUCCUUUCCAAUGUCUAAUCACCGUUUCUGUGAAACAACAACGACAAGUUCUGGUGCAGUUUAAGCCUAA